This 820-nucleotide long non-coding RNA is filed under the name Homo sapiens (human). Its description in RNAcentral is "HSALNT0148218". Lineage: Eukaryota; Metazoa; Chordata; Mammalia; Primates; Hominidae. The record is from RNAcentral.
AUUGUUUCCCAGCCGCUGCUCGCUGGGACCCCGCCAGCCCUCGAGCGCGGCCAUUCGCCGCGUUCUGCCCUCUCCCCCCUUUCCUCACGCUGGUGGUGGCCCUUUCCUCAGUCCUGCUGAUGUCCUCCAGCUGAUUCCAGGCUGUUCCCGGCCACCCCUGAGGCCGUCCUUUCGCUUCUUGUAAAAGCCUCCCCGCCUCCUGAGCUCCCUCGGUCGCCUCCCGAGAAGCCAACGGGCCUCUCUGGUGGAGCGUUAGGUUGACAGCGUUUUAGCAGGACCGCGAGAAACCGGGGAGAUCCUCUUACGAGGAAAAACUCCAAGAUUACAUCCCUGUUAUCUUUCCUCCAAGAGCUGACUAAGGCUUUGGAACAGAAACCAGAUGAUGCACAUAUAUUAUCGUCAAAGAGCUUAUUGUCACAUUCUUCUUGGGAAUUACUGUGAGACGGGGUUUCACUGUGUUAGCCAGGCUGGUCUCGAUUUCUUGACCUCGUGAUCCACCUGCCUCGGCCUCCCAAAGUGCUGGGAUUACACGCGUGAGCCGCCAUGCCCAGCCAGAAACGCAUCUUUUUCUACAUAGUUGCUGUUGCUGAUGCAAAGAAGUCUCGCGAAUUCAAUCCAAAUAAUUCCACUGCUGUGCUGAGAAAAGGGAUAUGUGAAUACCAUUUAAAAAACUAUGCUGCUGCUCUAGAAACUUUUAUAGGAGGACAAAAAUUAGUGCAGAUGCUAAUUUCAGUGACUGGAUUAAAAGGUGUCAAGAAGCUCAGAAUGGCUCAGAAUCUGAGGUGAGUUUCGCUCUUGUUGCCCAGGCUGGAGUGCAGCG